Molecule: ribosomal RNA, 253 nt
Filed under: uncultured bacterium
Lineage: Bacteria
Description: partial 16S ribosomal RNA
Rfam family: Bacterial small subunit ribosomal RNA
Source: RNAcentral
GACGAACCACACAAACGUUAUUCGGAAUUACUGGGCUUAAAGGGUGCGUAGGCUGUGCGGAAAGUUGGGUGUGAAAUCCCCCGGCUCAACCGGGGAAUUGCGCCCAAAACUACCGUGCUUGAGGAAGACAGAGGUGAGCGGAACUUCGGGUGGAGCGGUGAAAUGCAUUGAUAUCCGAAGGAACACCGGUGGCGAAAGCGGCUCACUGGGUCUUUUCUGACGCUGAUGCACGAAAGCUAGGGGAGCAAACGGG